UGGAUUCAUAGCUCAGUGGUAGAGCAUUCGGCUGCAGUCCGAAUGGUCCCCGGUUCAAACCCGGGUGGGUCCUCCAUUUUUUUCUGAGGU
RNAcentral lists this transfer RNA (90 nucleotides) under Wallacemonas collosoma. RNAcentral's name for it is "tRNA-Cys". The stretch from base 2 to 73 matches the Rfam family "tRNA". Rfam says of the family: Transfer RNA (tRNA) molecules are approximately 80 nucleotides in length. The record is from RNAcentral. Lineage: Eukaryota; Euglenozoa; Kinetoplastea; Trypanosomatida; Trypanosomatidae.